RNAcentral lists this ribosomal RNA (140 nucleotides) under uncultured eukaryote. Its description in RNAcentral is "partial 18S ribosomal RNA". It matches the Rfam family "Eukaryotic small subunit ribosomal RNA", at positions 1299 to 1458 of the family's 1831-position model. The record is from RNAcentral.
UGGUGGAGUGAUUUGUCUGGUUAAUUCCGUUAACGAACGAGACCACAGCCUACUAAAUAGGUGUGCCUAUGGCGACAUAGGUUGGCAGCUUCUUAGAGGGACAUUUCGGUUUUACCGGAAGGAAGUUUGUGGCAAUAACA